This 568-nucleotide small RNA is filed under the name Pongo abelii (Sumatran orangutan). RNAcentral describes it as "processed transcript". Lineage: Eukaryota; Metazoa; Chordata; Mammalia; Primates; Hominidae. The record is from RNAcentral.
CUUUUACAUGCUUGUUGAAUUAUAAGGAGCUGUAGCUUGGUUUUCUUUCUUCCUUUAAUACAGCUGCAUUCUUCAGCAAAGAAUCUAUAACAAAAGACAAACACGUUGAUUUAAAUAUAUAGGCCAUUUUUACUGAAUAUCGAAAGAAGUAAACACAUAGAUUUUUUUCCCCCUAAGUUUCUGGGUGUAUGAGGUGCUUGGUGAACAGAGCAGCAAUUUUGAUCAAUAGUUGAAUUUGAGAAAUUUCUUGAAUUACCAGUACCAGAAAUAGUAAUUGAAAUUACCAGAAAUAUUUCACCUCUUCAGAUUUUCCUUCAUUUUCCUUUUUCCUUGAUUUUUCUCAUUUAAAGAAAAAAAUCAAUUGUAUAUUACAUAUAAGUCUAUAAGCUGUCUCAAGUUAUUUUUCAGUAGGGAAGGUAAGAAGACAAGAGGUUUCUUCUCCUAGAAAAGAAACUUCAGCAAGGAGUCUUGGCAGUCCUUUGCUCCAUGAAAGGGGUAAUAUAGAGAAGACUUUCUGGGAUCUGAAAGAAGAAUUUCAUAGAAUAUGCAUGCUAGCAAAAGCACAGAA